This 466-nucleotide ribosomal RNA is filed under the name uncultured bacterium. RNAcentral describes it as "bacterial SSU rRNA". It matches the Rfam family "Bacterial small subunit ribosomal RNA", at positions 355 to 825 of the family's 1533-position model. The record is from RNAcentral.
UCGGGAAUAUUGGGCAAUGGAGGGAACUCUGACCCAGCCAUGCCGCGUGCAGGAUGAAGGCGUUAUGCGUUGUAAACUGCUUUUAUAUAGGAAGAAAUAGUCCUUGCGAGGAAAGUUGACGGUACUAUAUGAAUAAGCACCGGCUAACUCCGUGCCAGCAGCCGCGGUAAUACGGAGGGUGCAAGCGUUGUCCGGAUUUAUUGGGUUUAAAGGGUGCGUAGGCGGUUUAUUAAGUCAGUGGUGAAAGACGGUCGCUCAACGAUUGCAGUGCCAUUGAUACUGGUAGACUUGAGUAUGAUUGAGGUAGCUGGAAUGGAUAGUGUAGCGGUGAAAUGCAUAGAUAUUAUCCAGAACACCAAUUGCGUAGGCAAGUUACUAAGUCAUAACUGACGCUGAGGCACGAAAGUGUGGGUAUCAAACAGGAUUAGAUACCCGAGUAGUCCCUGAGCGGGCUGGCAAGGCGCAU